RNAcentral lists this long non-coding RNA (804 nucleotides) under Vigna radiata. RNAcentral's name for it is "long non-coding RNA (VRAD_LNC004512)". The record is from RNAcentral. Lineage: Eukaryota; Viridiplantae; Streptophyta; Magnoliopsida; Fabales; Fabaceae.
ACCGAUUUUACAUACGGAUUUCAAAAUAAUUAGUAAAUAAAAAUUAAAAAUAAUAUUUUUACCAGAUCAUCCCUCAACAUUUCUCACUAAACCCUAAACUCACUUACAGAAGUCUCUCGCUCUCGCACUCUCCCACUUCGAACUAAACGCACUCGUUUCACUCAGGUCACCCAAGCCCUUCCCUAACUUUCUCGCUCAGAUUUUCCACAACCUUUCUUAAAUCUCACCUCGAAACUUUCUCGUAGAGUUGCAUAUGUUCAUAAAGAAGAAGUUAUUCUCGCACUCCUCUUCAUUAGCUCUCUACCUCGUACUCCUCAUCCACAUUGCCUCCCCUGGAACUAUAGCCUCCACAACGUGCGUCUCCUCCGCAUUGGCCAUCACCUAAAACCCAAGCCACCACUGCGUGCCUCCUUUACAUUGGCCCUCCCUAGAACCCUAACCUCCAUCAUGUGCUCAUCCACAACACUCAUCUUCUCCGCAUUGGCCAUCACCUGAAAUCCUGAACUCCACCAUGUGUCUCCUCUACAAUGACCCUCCUCAGAACCCUAACAUCGAUCGCGUGCUCCUCCUCUGCAUUGGCCCUCCCUUAGAACCCCAAGCUUUGUUGUGGUGUUUGCGUCCGCAUUUAUUCUCUUUAUCUUCUACUGUUUUCAGAAAUACUUUUGGUUUUCUGAUUUUUGACGUUAUUAGAGAGAAGUUAUUGUGAAAAUUAUCGAGAAAAGAGAUUGUUUAAUAGUCAUGGUUGCUAGUAGUGGGUAAUCCUUAUGGUAAAGCAUCAUUAUUUCCUUUUUUUGUCUCAUUUUG